Molecule: ribosomal RNA, 292 nt
Filed under: uncultured bacterium
Lineage: Bacteria
Description: partial 16S ribosomal RNA
Rfam family: Bacterial small subunit ribosomal RNA
Source: RNAcentral
GUGUCAGCAGCCGCGGUAAUACAGGGGGUGCAAGCGUUGCUCGGAAUCAUUGGGCGUAAAGCGCACGUAGGCGGUCUGUUAUGUCGGAUGUGAAAGCCCUUGGCUCAACUGAGGAAGUGCAUCCGAAACUGGCAGGCUAGAGUACUAAAGAGGAUCGCGGAAUUCCCGGUGUAGAGGUGAAAUUCGUAGAUAUCGGGAGGAACACCAGUGGCGAAGGCGGCGAUCUGGGUAGAUACUGACGCUGAGGUGCGAAAGCGUGGGGAGCAAACAGGAUUAGAAACCCUCGUAGUCC